Acanthosepion pharaonis is the source of this 94-nucleotide non-coding RNA. NCBI's taxonomy places the organism in Eukaryota, Metazoa, Mollusca, Cephalopoda, Sepiida, Sepiidae. The record is from the annotation of a GenBank genome assembly.
GUUGAAACACAGGUUCCAUUAAGAUCAACGAAGUUAAGCAACGUCGAGCCUGGUCAGUACCUAGAUGGGUGACCGCUUGAGGACACCAGGUGCU